UACGUAGGUGGCAAGCGUUGUCCGGAAUUAUUGGGCGUAAAGCGCGCGCAGGCGGUUCCUUAAGUCUGAUGUGAAAGCCCACGGCUCAACCGUGGAGGGUCAUUGGAAACUGGGGACUUGAGUGCAGAAGAGGAGAGCGGAAUUCCACGCGUAGCGGUGAAAUGCGUAGAGAUGUGGAGGAACACCAGUGGCGAAGGCGGCUCUCUGGUCUGUAACUGACGCUGAGGCGCGAAAGCGUGGGGAGCAAACAGG
RNAcentral lists this ribosomal RNA (252 nucleotides) under uncultured bacterium. Its description in RNAcentral is "partial 16S ribosomal RNA". It matches the Rfam family "Bacterial small subunit ribosomal RNA", at positions 524 to 776 of the family's 1533-position model. The record is from RNAcentral.